UGGCGAACGGGUGAAGUAACACGUGGGUAAUCUGCCCUGCACUCUGGGAUAAGCCUGGGAAACUGGGUCUAAUACUGGAUAUGACCUUUCUCCUUAUGGGGUUUGGUGGAAAGUUUUUCGGUGUAGGAUGAGCCCGCGGCCUAUCAGCUUGUUGGUGGGGUGAUGGCCUACCAAGGCGACGACGGGUAGCCGGCCUGAGAGGGUGAUCGGCCACAUUGGGACUGAGAUACGGCCCAG
Molecule: ribosomal RNA, 237 nt
Filed under: uncultured Actinomycetales bacterium
Lineage: Bacteria; Bacillati; Actinomycetota; Actinomycetes; Actinomycetales
Description: partial 16S ribosomal RNA
Rfam family: Bacterial small subunit ribosomal RNA
Source: RNAcentral